GAUAAUUCAUUGAUUAUUGCGAAGUAGGAAUGCUAACCACAACAGGGACAUACUGAUUUUAUUGAAAGGUAUGAUGGCAGGCCGAAUUGGAUAUAUGAGAAUUUUGGGUAACCUCCUUAUCGGUAAGUGGCAGGAUUCGUUCUGCAAUUUAGGUGGUACCACGAGACAGUCGUCCUAUUG
This 180-nucleotide non-coding RNA is filed under the name Dellaglioa algida. Lineage: Bacteria; Bacillati; Bacillota; Bacilli; Lactobacillales; Lactobacillaceae. The record is from RNAcentral.